This 369-nucleotide ribosomal RNA is filed under the name uncultured bacterium. Its description in RNAcentral is "bacterial SSU rRNA". It matches the Rfam family "Bacterial small subunit ribosomal RNA", at positions 527 to 896 of the family's 1533-position model. The record is from RNAcentral.
GUAGGCAGCGAGCGUUGUUCGGAGUUACUGGGCGUAAAGGGUGUGUAGGCGGUUCUUUAAGUUUGGUGUGAAAUCUCCCGGCUCAACCGGGAGGGUGCGCCGAAUACUGAGGGACUAGAGUACGGGAGAGGAAAGUGGAAUUCCUGGUGUAGCGGUGAAAUGCGUAGAUAUCAGGAGGAACACCGGUGGUGUAGACGGCUUUCUGGACCGUAACUGACGCUGAGACACGAAAGCGUGGGUAGCAAACAGGAUUAGAUACCCUGGUAGUCCACGCCCUAAACGAUGCAUAUUUGGUGUGGGCAGUUCAUUCUGUCCGUGCCGGAGCUAACGCGUUAAAUAUGCCGCCUGGGGAGUACAGUCGCAAGGCUG